ACGAGUUUUGAGUGAAAUCCAAUCCCUAAAACAUGAAAUACACCAACCACUCCAUUUACGGAACGAAGUUCGUAAGAACUUGAAUUGUCCAAUUUCUUUGGCGAAUCAAUAUCGGACUGAGCCCAACACAUGGGCAACGCCAUAGUAUGCUGGGAGGAGUCAAUUGGUGUGUUUUGAGGGAAAUCAAGUCGGUAAAACUAUGCAAUACACCAACCACUCCAUUACAGAACGAACUUCGUACGAACUUGAAUUGUCCAGUUUCUUCGUUCGAUUGGUAUCGGAUUGAGCCCAAAAC
This 295-nucleotide long non-coding RNA is filed under the name Prunus persica (peach). RNAcentral's name for it is "long non-coding RNA (PPER_LNC004682)". The record is from RNAcentral. Lineage: Eukaryota; Viridiplantae; Streptophyta; Magnoliopsida; Rosales; Rosaceae.